This 2922-nucleotide long non-coding RNA is filed under the name Coffea arabica (coffee). RNAcentral's name for it is "long non-coding RNA (CARA_LNC003484)". The record is from RNAcentral. Lineage: Eukaryota; Viridiplantae; Streptophyta; Magnoliopsida; Gentianales; Rubiaceae.
UUCUCUCUCCUCAUUGCCGACCAGCUCCCUCCUCUCUCUAACUCAUUUGCAACAAAAUUUCUGCUCACUAAUCUCACUCAAAACCACCCCAAAUCAUCUCCAAAUUUAACCAAACUUGCACCACACCUAGCUUGACACUUGAGGAUCAUCUUGAGCUGCAAACAAGGGCUGGAAAUCACGGUUUUUCUGGGGUAGUAGAGGGCCGAAAAUUCUGCUGAACAUCAACCCAAAGUAAGUGAUGAUCCACUCUUGAAAACUUGAAGUUUGGAAGCUAUCUUACCUUGUUAAGUUCAUGCAUGCAUUUGGUUAGCUUGUGUAUGGUGUAAAAAUGUGAUUGUGGGCUCUUUGAAUUCCCACACUUGGGUUGUUGUUGCUGAUUUGAUGAGUGAUGGUGAUUAUAUUGUUGGUUUAGUGGUUAUAAUGAUGCAUUAGUGGUGGGUAAUUAGUAGAAACUUCAUUGGGUGUAAGAAGCAAAAACUUCCGAUUUUGCCCCUGCCAUGUUCGGCCAUUUUAAGGCCAUUUUUUAAUGAACUAAUGGCUUGAAUUGAAUGCUUGUAUGAUGUAUUAGAGGUGUGGAAAAUUUCAUUGAAAAAUAAUGAGGUUUGAAUGGGCAAAUGAAUUUUUUUUUAGAAACCAGCAAAUCUGGAAACUGAUUCGCGUAUGACUCUGACCAGCAGUAGUAUUUUGGCUAUAACUCUGUCCUCGGAUGUCGAAAUCAUGUGCCGUCGGUGGCGUUUGAAACUAGACAUUCCUAGCUUUAAUUUGGUAUAUAAUUCACGUUCUGAUUCUUUGUGAGCAAGCCGAACCAAAUGUUUUAAGUUCGCUGUCCUGUUGCUCUGUUCAUCUGGAAUGAAGUGUUCAGGCAGCAACUUGAUACCCGAUUUUGAACCAGAUGGGUGCCGAAUUUGGAAACGAUUUCUUCUGCAAUAUUUUAGCCCUAUGAAUUUAUUUUCCAACGGCGUAAGCCAUGCUCAAUUCCGAGUUAAAUUGACUGAGUUGUGACUAAAACAAGUGGACUGCCCUGUUUUGGAAAAACCCUAAUAUUUGGACUGGUUUGGAACAAGAUCUUGGAGUGAACUUGUUAAUUGAUGUUCUUGAUACUAAACACUUACCAAAGGUAUUAUGGAUGGUUCUUAGGCCUUUAUUUAACAAACGAACCAUGAUUGGAUAGUUUGCUUGAUUAAACGUUUUGAAUUGGGUAAUGAAGGUCUAAAGGCAGAUUGCCUUAUAAAUUUUCCCGAACUUUGAUUGACUCAUUAGCUACCUUCCCGAGGGUAUUUUUCCCUGAAUUUUGACAGAGAGAUACCUUCCAUAUAGUAUUGAAAUACUGCCAAUUUUGGUAUCAAUCCAAGUCCAUUUCGAUACCUAAUUAAAUUACUAAAGUUGGAGGUUCAAAUCUGGAAAAUUCUUCUCCAGUCUUGAAUUUCCCCAACUUCGGGCUACCGUAUCUCGGUACUCGAAACUCCGAUUCUUGAUCCGCUUGUUUUGUUAUAAACCUCACUUGUAACACUAAUUGAGAUGCAAAUUUCAGAGGCCGGUUUGCGACGUGUGAAUCGUGCCGAAUUUCCAAAGUUGGCCGAAAUCCAACUUAAUUCUGCCAUGUAAACCAAUCCUGCACCUUCAAGCUCAUUUUUGCCCACUUUUCACUUCGAUUCAUGGAAAAGUGUCUUCUAGGAACUUAUAGUACUCUCUAAGAGGUUUCCAACGGUAUAAAGUUUUCCAAUUCUCGACUUGUACCGAGUGAGUUACGAUUUUUCAAAGAUUUAGGAUAAAACUGAAAUUUCUCAAUUUUCAAGGCAAAGGAGUUUUUCCAAAACUCUUAAUUCUCUUAGUAUUAUUCAAACGUUUUGCCCUCGAUUUUCAUGAUAAAAACUCAAAUAAUAUUGUACAUAAUAAAAGGCAAGUUGAACCUCGAUUUACGUGUAAUUGAGGUCCCUGUUUGCAAAAUAAUUAGUACAAUCUUCUUGAUAAGUGGGUUAAUUGUAUGAUUAUCCGCUAUUAAAUUGCCAGGCGCACAAGGAGACCUUCAAGAGGAUCUCACCGUGGACACUUGAACUCCCAGAAAUAUAUUUCUUAUCGAAUUGCUCGGUGAGUGUCAGGUGUAUGAAUUUGAUACUUGCUUAUUUGUGGUAAUUGUUGGAAGUUUUAAAAAUAAGGGCGGGUGCGUACUUUACCGCACUCGUUCUAAUUUCAAAUGAAUGAAUGAAAUGUAUUGAAUGAAUGAAUGAAAUGCAAUGUUAUGUCAUGAAUGCUUAUGUCGCUGGAGUGAACCUCCUCGACUUUCAAAUGAAUGGGGGACGCCCAAACUCAUAGGCCGUCCUUAGACUCGAGCCAGCAAUGGGCUUGGUCGGGGAUUUGGGCGAGCCAUGAGAUAUAUAUAAGCUCGACCUAAUAAGAGGUCUUGCUUGGCAUACUCGUAGAGUAUCGCCCAAUAAUAGACUUGUGGGCCCUUGAGGUGUACGGUGGACGGAGGGAAGUAAGUGGUGAUCUACGGAAAUGGAAAUACCGACCCAGUUGACAGGAGGGUCAAUGCGGGAAGGUAUACGAAUGACAUCGGUAGAUCAAGUGGAACUUAGCUCCUGAGAGCUACUAUAUCCUUGAAUUGUUUCUGAUUACUUUUCCUGUUUGAAUGAUUGAUUAUUGAAAAGACAUGGUUUUAUUUAUUAAAUUGGGAUUGUUAUUUGACAAAGUGCUUGCAUGUGUGUUCUUGGCCUCACGAGCGUUUAGCUCACCCUAUAGUUUUGUUUUCCUUAACAGGACCGACUCUUGGAGAAAUAUGGAGAAACCAUCCGUUGUAAUUUUGUUAAGACUCCUGUUAUAUAUUUUGACUAGACCCUGGUUUGGGUUGUACUUUUGGAAAUUGUAAACUUGAAAAGUUUGGGCCCUGAUGUGUACUUUGAAUUUAAGUCGUUUCAUGAUUAC